This 1408-nucleotide long non-coding RNA is filed under the name Equus caballus (horse). RNAcentral's name for it is "lncRNA (ENSECAG00000038724.3)". Lineage: Eukaryota; Metazoa; Chordata; Mammalia; Perissodactyla; Equidae. The record is from RNAcentral.
UGAAGAGAAGGGUUUACUUUAAGGCCAAGGAUGGGGAAGGUCUGAGUAGCUUGUACACAGGAAGAAUUAAGUGCUGCUCUGUGCUCAGUGCGGUUGUGGAGGGAGCAGCUGGCUGCACUGGUCCAUGGCUGGGUUUGGCAGGAGCGAGAACACCAGCCCGGAGCAGACACAGCAUUCCUGGGGCAGGACUGCCCCGCAUGUCACAUCACGAAGCCCAGUGCCCGGCACACACACAGGUGUCCUGAACUCCGAUUUGGCAAACAGGGAACCUGAGGGCCAGCAAGUUUAGCUGAGGGGCCCAGGGCACUCUUCUUAGGGACAGGAGGUGCCAGGAUUUCAACACGGGGUGUUUACCCCCAAAGCCCGACCGAAUGGCUUGGGUGCAUCCUUGGAGGGGCGCCUGGCCCCCCGGCUGGCCAGCUGCUGGGGGCUCCUGGGCCGCCGUGAUGUGCACUUGGCUGCUCUUCUCUGCCCAAGCCCAGCAGAGGCUGCAGACCACGGCCAAGGGCGGCUGCCCAUCCAAGGGGCAGAGUCGGGACCUCAUGAGCUGGCAGGGGGCUGGGCUCCAGGUCCUGGAGCUGCUCCCAACUCCCAGGGGGACCUCAGUUUCAGCUGUGGCCAGACUCCCCACUUGCUGUGGACACAGAGCUGGGCAGGACCAGAGGGAUUAUCUGUUCAACCCUUCAUUUCACAGCUGGAGAAACAGGCUCAGAGAGGCAAAGGGGCUCGGCCAAGGUCACACAUUCAAGUAAGAGCAGUGGAGAUUCUGCCCCAGCCCUGGUCCUCUAAUCUAAUCCAUCAGCCCAUAGGAACCGAGCAGCCAUCCCCACGCACACGUGGGACCAGAGCCACUGACCCUGAGAGCCAGCAGGGCUUCCAGGCAACCCUCCCUCCCCGCCCCUCCUGAUUCCAAGCUCUGGAGACAAAAGAGCAGAGGUGAGGUGAGCACCCCAAUGUCACGGGCCAGGCAGCGCCCAGGGGGACGAGAACCCAGGGCUCCAGACUCCACCCUGGCUGCUUCCACCACACCCCCGUCCCCACCCUAGGCACCCUCAGCUCUCCAGCCACUCUGGACACAGCCCUGCAUGUCUCUAUGGCUGUGUGCGCCUCCUCCAUGGGGCCACAUCUGCGUCUGAUUGAAUAAACACCUGGGGGGACGACCAGUGAUCCCCUAAAUAGCACGCACCUGUGGGAUGAGGAGCGGCCAUCCCUUCCAUCCCCAUCAGCUCAGCCUCGACACCAGGAACUCGACAGCAUCCUUCACACUCAGGAAAUGUCGUCUCUGAGAACGAACCGCAUUUUCUGUAGUUAACGCGUAACAACUAGUCCUAUAAAUCUGAAUUAUCCCUGUAAAUCUAAAUGAAGCUCCCAGACUUAAAUGUAUUUAGGACACUUCAUUAAUAAACUG